UUAUCUUCCUAUCUCUUUUACAGGCAUAUCUCGGAGAUAUUGCGGGUUUAGUUCCAAACCACUGCAAUAAAGGGAAUAUCGCAGUAAAGAGAGUCAUGCGACUUUUUUGGUUUCCCAGUGCAUAUAAAAGUUAUGUUUACACUAUACUGUAGUCUAUUAAGUGUGCAACAGCAUUAUGUCUAAAAAAAAA
Molecule: long non-coding RNA, 190 nt
Organism: Aethalodelphis obliquidens (Pacific white-sided dolphin)
Lineage: Eukaryota; Metazoa; Chordata; Mammalia; Artiodactyla; Delphinidae
Exons: 3
Source: RefSeq, a predicted model, not a curated record